Molecule: non-coding RNA, 228 nt
Organism: Pelobates cultripes (western spadefoot toad)
Lineage: Eukaryota; Metazoa; Chordata; Amphibia; Anura; Pelobatidae
Source: the annotation of a GenBank genome assembly
GGGAUCCUCUUUCUACCACUGAAGCCAUGAACAAUGUCGCGUUAUGGCUGGGUACGAGAGCCGGUGUUCUAUCGGAUUUCCCUUACCUGUGAAAAUUCUCUGUGAUGGUAAAAAAUUAGCCACAACCAAGCUGUGACUAUAACUGAAGACCAGCAAUGCUUGCCUAGAUACCAUGCCAUUCACUAUGCUUGGGAGCUUAUUGCUGGGAAUUCUAUGAGAAGUGAGAAC